GACGAACGCUGGCGGCGUGCCUAAUACAUGCAAGUAGAACGCACAGUUUAUACCGUAGCUUGCUACACCAUAGACUGUGAGUUGCGAACGGGUGAGUAACGCGUAGGUAACCUGCCUGGUAGCGGGGGAUAACUAUUGGAAACGAUAGCUAAUACCGCAUAAUAUUAAUUAUUGCAUGAUAAUUAAUUGAAAGGUGCAAUUGCACCACUACCAGAUGGACCUGCGUUGUAUUAGCUAGUAGGUGAGGUAACGGCUCACCUAGGCGACGAUACAUAGCCGACCUGAGAGGGUGAUCGGCCACACUGGGACUGAGACACGGCCCAGACUCCUACGGGAGGCAGCAGUAGGGAAUCUUCGGCAAUGGACGAAAGUCUGACCGAGCAACGCCGCGUGAGUGAAGAAGGGUUUCGGAUCGUAAAGCUCUGUUGUAAGAGAAGAACGGGUGUGAGAGUGGAAAGUUCACACUGUGACGGUAGCUUACCAGAAAGGGGCGGCUAACUACGUG
This 505-nucleotide ribosomal RNA is filed under the name uncultured bacterium. RNAcentral describes it as "partial 16S ribosomal RNA". It matches the Rfam family "Bacterial small subunit ribosomal RNA", at positions 28 to 507 of the family's 1533-position model. The record is from RNAcentral.